RNAcentral lists this ribosomal RNA (206 nucleotides) under uncultured bacterium. Its description in RNAcentral is "partial 16S ribosomal RNA". It matches the Rfam family "Bacterial small subunit ribosomal RNA", at positions 568 to 774 of the family's 1533-position model. The record is from RNAcentral.
CGCGUAGGCGGCCUGAUAAGUCGGGGGUGAAAUUCUGCGGCUUAACCGCAGAACGGCCUUCGAGACUGUCAGGCUGGAGCACGGUAGAGGCUGGUGGAAUUCCCGGUGUAGCGGUGGAAUGCGUAGAGAUCGGGAAGAACAUCGGUGGCGAAGGCGGCCAGCUGGGCCGUUGCUGACGCUGAGGCGCGACAGCGUGGGAGCAAACA